UACAGGGGGUGCAAACGUUGCUCGGAAUCAUUGGGCGUAAAGCGCACGUAGGCGGUUUGUUAUGUCGGAUGUGAAAGCCCUUGGCUCAACUGAGGAAGUGCAUCCGAAACUGGCAAGCUAGAGUACUAAAGAGGGUCGCGGAAUUCCCGGUGUAGAGGUGAAAUUCGUAGAUAUCGGGAGGAACACCGGUGGCGAAGGCGGCGACCUGGGUAGAUACUGACGCUGAGGUGCGAAAGCGUGGGGAGCAGACAGG
This 253-nucleotide ribosomal RNA is filed under the name uncultured bacterium. RNAcentral's name for it is "partial 16S ribosomal RNA". It matches the Rfam family "Bacterial small subunit ribosomal RNA", at positions 524 to 776 of the family's 1533-position model. The record is from RNAcentral.